RNAcentral lists this long non-coding RNA (603 nucleotides) under Mustela putorius furo (domestic ferret). RNAcentral's name for it is "lncRNA (ENSMPUG00000028272.1)". The record is from RNAcentral. Lineage: Eukaryota; Metazoa; Chordata; Mammalia; Carnivora; Mustelidae.
CGUGCCUCUGGUGUUCAUGCCCCUGUGGCAUUCCCUUCCCUUGAUGGAGGUGAGUCCGUUGACUUACUUCUAACCAAGAGAAUAUGUUAAAGCUAAUGCGUUGUCACCCCUCUGAUUGCAUUACUUUAUGUGGUGAAGGUGAUGUCACUCCCCCAAUUAAAUUAUAGAAGACUCUAUGUCCCUAGAAGACUGUCUUGCUCUCUCCAGGGCUGUCUUGAAGCAUCAAGCUGUUGUGAAUUUUGCCGCCACAAGGAAAUCAAUUCUGCCAUCAACCUGAGGGAACUUGGAAGGAAAACCUUCUCCAGUUGAGCCUGCAGAUGAGAACCCACCUCCGACUGACAUGCCAAUUUCAGCUUUGCAGAGAUAUACCCUUCUUGGCCUCCCGACUUUCAGAAGAUGUGCAAUAAAUGUGGGCCAUUUGACUGUGGAGUUUCCUAUCGUCUGAACCUUGCUGAUCCCAAGCUCUCCUGUGCAGCCCAGCAUGGUCCCCUGCCCUUGGUAUUUCCUGUAAACUGCCAGUUGCCUCCAGAGAUUAGAUCUGAUUCACCUUCUCUUCAAGACUCUAGCAAGACUAAGGAAGGAGGAUCUUCCUUGGUUCUUUGA